GCCGCGGUAGCCCAACCUUGGUAGAGGCGCUGCACUCAGAAUGCAGAGGUUGCGGGUUCGAAUCCCGCCCGCGGUA
Molecule: transfer RNA, 76 nt
Filed under: Hyalangium minutum
Lineage: Bacteria; Pseudomonadati; Myxococcota; Myxococcia; Myxococcales; Archangiaceae
Also listed under: 1 other name
Rfam family: tRNA
About the family: Transfer RNA (tRNA) molecules are approximately 80 nucleotides in length. Their secondary structure includes four short double-helical elements and three loops (D, anti-codon, and T loops).
Source: Rfam by way of RNAcentral